Molecule: long non-coding RNA, 330 nt
Filed under: Setaria italica (foxtail millet)
Lineage: Eukaryota; Viridiplantae; Streptophyta; Magnoliopsida; Poales; Poaceae
Description: long non-coding RNA (SITA_LNC001486)
Source: RNAcentral
AACGCCAAUGGCGCCGCCAUCGCUCAUCCAGAAUCUGGACGGGGUUUUUACCCAGAGAACCCCAUGCAACAGAGAUGGGCUCCACGAUGACGCCCCCAACGGGGAGAACGACGGCCUAGGACGUCGUCGCCAUCGCCAUCAGCAGGAUCGCCGGCAGAGGCUUUCACCCGCAGAAUCCCAUCCCUAUCUGCACGCUUACAAUGCGGCAAACCGAGGAAUGCAGCCACGGAAGGCCAUCCAGGGAUGGCGUCGCCACCGUGCCUCCUUGUGCCGCCGCUCUACCAUCUUGCUCCCUCACACUGCCUCCUCCUAGCCGUACCUCCGCCGCAC